Medicago truncatula (barrel medic) is the source of this 475-nucleotide long non-coding RNA. RefSeq lists it as uncharacterized. NCBI's taxonomy places the organism in Eukaryota, Viridiplantae, Streptophyta, Magnoliopsida, Fabales, Fabaceae. The record is from RefSeq and is a predicted model, not a curated record. The transcript has 3 exons.
AAACAAGCCAAACACCUUAGAUUAACGAGCCACAUUGGUAUUAUGGUCUCCAUUGUGCUUACUAUAUAAACAACAAUCCUUUGUUAUGGUUAGCCAUGCCUUCAAAAACACUUAACCAUUUCAUUUGUCUGUAUUCAUUUGUCUAAGUAAGUUUUGGUCCAUAACUUUCUGAGAAUGUCGAGUUCGGACAAUUUCAUCAUGUUUGCCAGGGACCAAGAAGCACUAAUCAGAUGAAAGGACAAUUCGACCCCAGAGGUGUGCAAGGCUGUGAGAUAUGACUUGGCGAAGCUUAGGACAUUCCAAAUGGAAUAUGACAUUGCUGUUGACUAUAUACUAAGGAGAGUACAAGUGUACUAGGCUUGGAUCCAGUUUAGCUGGAAGAGCUCCUUGGUACAUAGAUUAACAGACACCGAGACACAACAAUUUAAAUUGGAACACAGUUCAUUGAAUUUGUUUUUGCCAAGACAUUGCAGCA